Long non-coding RNA from Aethalodelphis obliquidens (Pacific white-sided dolphin), 2215 nucleotides. RefSeq lists it as uncharacterized. NCBI's taxonomy places the organism in Eukaryota, Metazoa, Chordata, Mammalia, Artiodactyla, Delphinidae. The record is from RefSeq and is a predicted model, not a curated record. The transcript has 3 exons.
UCAAGAGGUCUUCAGGAAGAGACCAAUGUCCUGGAUGAUCUGGAGGCAAACUGCCUGGUUCAAGUCUUACCAGCUCCUUUACUAACUGUGAGACCUUGGGGGAGCUAAUUAGACUCUCUCUUCCGUGAAAUGAGAUUAAUAAGCCUUGCCUACACCGUAAUAGGACAGUUAAAUGAGAAAAUAGACACAGAACAGGUAGAGCAGUGCCAAGUGCACACAGAAAGCCAGUGUGAGAAUGAAACCAACAGAGAAAAAAGCAAGCCAAGGGCAUAAACUAGUAUGAGUCACGUUUCUGUCAUUUCCCAUGCAUAGGUCCUGACUAAAACACUGGAGCAUCGACCGGGAUUGAAAAAAAAGUGGCAAAUGAGGGAUGAGAGGGCAGAUCAUUUUUGCCGUGCUAAACAACCGGCUUUUUCUCCAGAUGGCAGUGGCCAGUCAGAGAAGGAUGUGAAGAAGAAUAUGAAGAAAUAUUAAGAAGGAAAUAAACUAGGACUCUCCUGAACAAAAAGACCCCUGUUGACAUUUUAAAAGCAGAAGUUGUACAUGUACAAAUUAGAAAGUAUAAACGGCACAGAAAGGCACAAGAUGAAAAGAAGAUUUCCCCUGUCCAUCUCUCUCCCCAGAGGGCAGCCUUUCAUCAGCUCCCGGCAUCAGGACCACUUCUCUCUUUAUCAAGCACUCACCCAAGUUCCCCGACCGGGGAUCGAACCCGCGUCUUCUGCAGUGGAAGCACAGAGUCCUAACCACUGGACCACCAGGGAAUUCCUCUUCAGAGAAGUUGUAAUGACACAUAACAAAGGUUUCCAUGUUGUAACUUUGUUUUACCGUGAUGUUGACAGUUUAUUCUCUUCCCAAACUUUUGCCUGGUUUCAUGUUCAGGUAAAAGCUAAGAAGUGUUUGAAAGGAAAUUCAGCCGACAAACUUGUAAAGAUAAUUUUUCAUUCAAUAUGCCAAACAAGACACUACUAUUUAACAGCAAGCCAUACUACAUGCAAUACAUUUUUGAUGGUUUAAAAAGCAACAAAGUGACUUUAGAACAUAAAGGAAUACUUAAAUAUUACUUACAGAAGAAGAAAGAGCUAAAUGUCCUCUUGUAUCUGAAAAAGACUCAAAAUGUUCUAGAUUUUUUUUUCUUUUGGCCCGAUUAGGAAAGAAGAAAUAACUAAUAAACUAUGUAAAUACAUUAGUUAAAAGAAAACAAGAUAAAGAAACAGGAAAUAAAUCUACUAUACUUCAAUUUAAAAAAAUAUAUAAAACUUUUCUUUUAUGCCCACACACAAAAAAGGAAGAGACGGGAAGGAACAGAAUGUCAGAGUCAGCCUGCUAAUUUUGAUGAGGAAGCUCAUUGUAACUACUAACACAAACCGAAAAUCUGCUGUUUACUAAAGUAGGAGGAUGUAUAACAACUGUAGCUUUAAUUCCAUAUAAAUGGAGCUAAAAAUGCACUACAGCUUGUGGUCACUUGCUAGCUACAUGCACGCAGGUAUUUCGGUAUUUGUUUUGCUUUGUUCAUUAAUAAAAAAUCAGCUAAUUCUAAAAAACAAAACAAAACAGGAAAAAAAACUUGCCUUCUUGAUAGCUCCAUCUUCCCAGCUUGUCUUCCUGAAAGCUUAUACUGUGCCCACAACCAGCCAGAAGAACAUCUGGACUCAUUAAACUUGCCCACCCCUCCAGCCCAAGAAGCUGAAGUGCUUGGGACAACAGGUCUCCUCUGGCUGGACCUCGGGGUGAAACACCUUAGAAGGGGAACAGCAUUCCUCCUCAGCUGCUGUCCCCACCCACUCGCCAGCCUUGAGGGAGAGGGGCCGGGGAGGAACAGCUCUUCUUUGAUAAAUGGGGGAGGGGGGCGGGGGGGAGGCCAGAGGACCACAGGGGACAAAGGAGUCGCCUCGGGUUUCCCUUCAGUGAGUGCUUCCUAAAGGGAGAAGCACAGGUCGUCUUGUGCGCGCACAUGAUCCUUGGAGACACAACUCAUCUCCCACAAUGUCACCUGUAAGGACAAGAUAAACAGCCACACCUGGGGCCCAGCUCAGGCCAACCCGGGUUCUAGUUCACGUCACGUCCUAAGGAAGAACGUCUAGAUGCUAAGGAUCGUGCACCUCAAGAGCAGGGCUGGGACAGUGCGGGGAAGAAAGAUUGACGGCAUUUCCAUAUUUUCCCUUUUAUACACAACACUCCCCAAAUAAACAAGUUGCCUUUUCUUCCUAAAUUCUUA